This 468-nucleotide ribosomal RNA is filed under the name uncultured bacterium. RNAcentral's name for it is "partial 16S ribosomal RNA". It matches the Rfam family "Bacterial small subunit ribosomal RNA", at positions 28 to 507 of the family's 1533-position model. The record is from RNAcentral.
GACGAACGCUGGCGGCGUGCUUAACACAUGCAAGUCGAACGGAACGGCCCUGCUUUUGUGGGGUACUCGAGUGGCGAACGGGUGUGUAUCACGUUAGUAACCUGCCCGUCACUUUGGUAUAACUUCGGGAAACUGGCUCUAAUACCGGAUAGGCGCUCCUGCUGCAUUGUUGGUGUUGGAAAGUUUCGGCGGUUGGGGAUGGACUCGCGGCUUAUCUGCUUGUUGGUGGGGUGGUGGCUUAGCAGGGCUUUGACGGGUAGCAGUCCUGGGUGGGUGACAGGCAACAGUGGGACUGAGACACGGCCAAGACUCCUACGGGAGCGAGCAGUAGGGAAGAUGGCACUAGGGGCGGAAGCCUGAUGCAGCAACGCCGCGGGCGGGAUGACGGCCAUCGAGUUGUAAACCGCUUGCGCCUGUGACGAAGCGGGAGUGACGGGAAUGGGUAAAGAAGCACCGGCUAACUAAGUG